Molecule: long non-coding RNA, 1947 nt
Organism: Topomyia yanbarensis
Lineage: Eukaryota; Metazoa; Arthropoda; Insecta; Diptera; Culicidae
Exons: 4
Source: RefSeq, a predicted model, not a curated record
CUGCUCCUGAAGAAAAACAAGCUGCUAGUGGAUAUGGAAAAACAGCUUCCUACACGGAAGAUGCAGAUGCAUUCAACCCGGCGGAUGCAAGUUUGCUAAUAAAAAUUAUUCUCAAGGGUCUAGUAGAAUGAAAGGGAAAGCAGAAUCUACAGGUGCAGCGAAAGGAUCCUUCUUCGCCGCUAUACUCGGUUAAAACUUUCGAAGCUUUGCAUAUGAAGCCGGAGCUGCUUCAGGGAGUCUAUGCUAUGGGUUCCUACGCCCCUUCCAAGAUUCAGGAAACGGCUCUACCUGCUCUGUUGGCGUUGGUUGUGGAGCACAUGAUCGCCCAGUCAGUCAGAAACAAGAAAAACCGCUGCUUUCGCGCUGACAAUGCUCAGUCGAGUCGAUCCGUUAAAAAAAACUAUCCGCAAGUGAUUUGCCUUUCCCUUACAAAUGAACUAGCCAAUCAGAAGGGGGUAGUAGCUGCCAAAAUUACAAAGUUUUGUCCGGAAAUCAAAUUUAGUUACCCCAUCCGCGGCGAGGAGAUUGUCAAAGGGGCGAAGCUGAUUAAUCAUAUCAUCAUCGAAACACCCGGUAAGCUGAUGGACUGGAAUAUAAAAUUCAGGCGUUCGACCUUGAGAAAUUGCCGUUUGUGUACUAAACGAAGCGGGCGCUAUGAUCGCUGUUCUUGGCCACGUACGAGCGGGAGGUAAUGGAGUUCGCCGAGUACAUUUUACCCGAUCCGAUCGUGAUUCAGCUACCGCGGGAGCAAGAAUCACUAGAUAACAUCAAACAGCACUACAUCAAGUACCGCAACUAGGACGAGAAAUAUCAAGCAAUUUCGAUCAUCUUUGGUGUGAUUACCAUCGGACAGGCGAUCAUUUUCUGUCGUAUGAGUAUAGGACAGUUGUGAUUGGCAUUGUUAAUCGAUGGAAACAGACACGCAAAACGGCCGGCAGGAUGGUCAUUCGGUAGCGGUACUGUCCGGUGAUUUAACGGUGGAGCAAUGGUUUGCCGUUCUGAAUCGAUUCCAAGCCGGACUAAAGAAGGUAUUGAUUACAACGAACGUUUUGUCUUGGGGUAUCGAUGUCGAACAGGUGACCAUUGUCAACUUCGACCUGUCGAUGGAUCAGUAGAGACGAGCCGAUUGUGAAACAUAUCUGCAUCGAAUUGGACACACCGGUAAAUUCGGCAUCGCCAUCAACCUGGUGGGCAGUGAUCGAAGCAUGAUGAUUUGCAGAUCAUUCGAAAAACACUUCCAGAAAAAGAUGUAGCUACUGGACGCGGAGAACUCGGACCAUACUGUAAAGAUCGGAUCGUAAAGUGUUUUUGACCAGCUACCGGUGAAAGGCGCAGGAGCUGUUUUGGGUCAUACUUGUCUCGAUUCUGAAUUUAAAUAUUGUAAUUUGAUUUAGCUCUACCCAGUUCUUGCCAAACAUUUGAAAAGAACCUAACUGCAAAAUGUAACAAAUUGAAUUUUAAUGUUUUCCAUUAACAAAUAUCUACUCGAACACGUACAUAACGCAACAUUUGAUUAUGGAGAAUUUUAAUAGCAAUUUCCGGAUUUUUAUGACCAUACUGGUUAUUAAAGGGCCUAACUGAUUACAAAAGAGCCUAAUUGAUUAUAAAAGUGCCUAACUGAUGUCAAAAGCGCCCAACUGAUUGAAAAGUGCUUAACUAGCAAUGCACUCAUUUUAAAAGGAUUAUAACGAAUUAAUGUAUUAUAACCAGGUAUGCACAAGAGCGGGGCUGCUCCGUGUCCUAUUCCUGUGCACUGGCUCAUAAUAUGUCACAGCUAAAUUCAUUUAGCUAGGGCUUGUGCUGGUUUUAGAUGAGCUAGAGCUAGCAAGUAGCACGAGCACCGAUUAGUGAGAGCUCUCGCUAGCACGGUGAUAGCUAGCACGCUGCACGGAGCUAUUGCUCAGCUACACAGAGAAACAAAAAUAUGCAUAGUUAGCAUACUUUCUA